AUUAAGCAUAUAACUAAGCGGAGGAAAAGAAACUAACCAGGAUUCCCUCAGUAAGGGCGACUGAAGCGGGAAGUGCUCAGGAUGUGAAUCUGCGCUGUAUUAGCGCCGAAUUGUGGUCUGUAGACUGUGGCAUUACUGGCCGGGCCAAGUCCCUUGGAACAGGGCAGCUGAGAGGGUGAGACUCCCGUACGCCUGGCUGGGUGAGCUACUUGUCAACGAGUCGAGUUGUUUGGGAUUGCAGCUCAAAGCGGGUGGUAAAUUCCAUCUAAAGCUAAAUAUUGGUGGGAGACCGAUAGCGUACAAGUACCGUGAGGGAAAGAUGCAAAGAACUUUGAAAAGAGAGUUAAAGAGUACCUGAAAUUGCUGAAAGGGAAGCGAAGGAAACCAGUGUUUGCUUGGUCAUAUUUCCCUGUCCGCUUGCGGAUUGGGCGCUGUGUCCGGCUCGUGUUGUUCUUGGUUGGUUCUGGUGGAAGAGCGCCUUGAGAGUUGAUCAAGGUUGCUAGCAUCGGAGUUGACUGAGGAGGACGAAAUGGUUUUCUUUCCCCCGUCUUGAAACACG
RNAcentral lists this ribosomal RNA (559 nucleotides) under Nitzschia cf. pusilla. Its description in RNAcentral is "partial large subunit ribosomal RNA". It matches the Rfam family "Eukaryotic large subunit ribosomal RNA", at positions 33 to 663 of the family's 3401-position model. Lineage: Eukaryota; Bacillariophyta; Bacillariophyceae; Bacillariales; Bacillariaceae. The record is from RNAcentral.